This 219-nucleotide long non-coding RNA is filed under the name Capsicum annuum. Its description in RNAcentral is "long non-coding RNA (CANN_LNC001726)". The record is from RNAcentral. Lineage: Eukaryota; Viridiplantae; Streptophyta; Magnoliopsida; Solanales; Solanaceae.
CCAAACCUUCAAUGAACUUCUACUAACUUCCUUCUUAGCCUACUAAUAAAACUCCUAAACCAUGAGAAUUGACAUUACACCAAAAUACCCAACAUCAACCACAUAUAAUUUCGAAUUAACAAACUUAAAUUCUUGCAUACUCUAUUUUAAUCCUACUGAUUCACCAUCAAUACAACUAUCCCUAUGGAUACAUAAUUCACCAAAUUUAGAUAAUACUAU